UACGUAGGGUGCAAGCGUUGUCCGGAAUUAUUGGGCGUAAAGAGCUCGUAGGCGGUUUGUCGCGUCUGCUGUGAAAUCCCGAGGCUCAACCUCGGGCUUGCAGUGGGUACGGGCAGACUAGAGUGCGGUAGGGGAGAUUGGAAUUCCUGGUGUAGCGGUGGAAUGCGCAGAUAUCAGGAGGAACACCGAUGGCGAAGGCAGAUCUCUGGGCCGAUACUGACGCUGAGGAGCGAAAGCGUGGGGAGCGAACAGG
RNAcentral lists this ribosomal RNA (253 nucleotides) under uncultured bacterium. Its description in RNAcentral is "partial 16S ribosomal RNA". It matches the Rfam family "Bacterial small subunit ribosomal RNA", at positions 524 to 776 of the family's 1533-position model. The record is from RNAcentral.